Nannospalax galili (Upper Galilee mountains blind mole rat) is the source of this 3301-nucleotide RNA transcript. It is a transcript of the gene named atonal bHLH transcription factor 8, with no coding region annotated. The transcript has 5 exons. The record is from RefSeq and is a predicted model, not a curated record. Lineage: Eukaryota; Metazoa; Chordata; Mammalia; Rodentia; Spalacidae.
CUACAGGGUAGCAAGGCUGGGCAGUGAAGGGCCGGCUGAGAUUGGGGAAGGGCCGGAGCGGCCAGCAGCCACGUGCUCAGAGGACAGCGGUGCAGAGAGCAGGCUGUCCUGCGGGAGCAGAGACGCGCUCCCAACUUGGGCAGGGGGCGGGGAGCAGAGCCGGAGGAGGCAGGUUCUGGCAGAGGGGAUAGGGGUGGGGGGAGGCCGAGAGCACGCGGACAAAGGAGCCGGCCGGCAGCCCAGCUGUUUUGAAAAAUGCUUCCUGUUUCUUUAAAGGCGCUCGCGGUUCGGGCGGCCGGGGCUGGGGAGGCGGCGGCGGCGGCCGGAGCUGCCUCCUCUCCGGGCGGGCGGCGUUGAGUGAUCUUGCAAACUGGGCUUCUGUGUAAACUGAGGCUAAACAAACACAGAUGGAGCGCAGCGGGCGUUCUAAAGAAAUGCUGGCGGGGCAGCAGCGACUUCAGAUGACACUCUGAGCGCUCCCGGGGAACGAACAGCCCCCGAAGCUUCGCGGAGCCGGCGGUGCAGCUGCCGGGGCAGAGGGGGAGCAAGGGAACGAGAGAGGGAGGGAUCGGGGGAGGGAGGGACCGGAGAGAGAGCCGCGACCAGGCGGCGCUGCGCGCGGUGGCUGCCUGGACGCAGCCGGCGCGCGGCGGGCAGAGCGAUCGCAGAGCGCGCUUCCCGGGCAGCACUACGUUCCUGCCCUGCGCGCCGCCCCCGCCAUGAAGCACAUCCCGGUCCUCGAGGACGGGCCGUGGAAGACUGUGUGCGUGAAAGAGCUGAAUGGCCUCAAGAAGCUCAAGCGGAAAGGCAAGGAGCCAGCGCGGCGCGCAAACGGCUAUAAAACUUUCCGACUGGACUUGGAAGCGCCGGAGCCCGGCGCCACUGCCGCCACCGCCACCAACGGGUUACGGGACAGGACCCAGGCGCUCCCGAUCCUGACCCCAGUGCCAGCCUCUGUGGCGCCGGCGGUUCCUCCAGGUGGAGGAGCGGACACAGCAGGAGAGCUCAGGGGCAUCCGAGCGCCCGACAACUCAGACGCGCGCAAACGCAGUUUCGCCCUGGGCGCUGUGGGACCCAGACUUCCCACGCCGCCGCCGCCUCCGGCAUCCCAGGGUUUGGCACCUGGGGGUCCCGAGACCCAAGCUUUCCGCGAGCCGGCUCUUCGUCCCCGCAUUUUGCUGUGCGCCCCUUCCGCGCGCCCCAUGCCUUCUGUGCCUCCCGCAACCCCAGCAGCGCCCCGAGAGUCGUCUGUGCUCCCUGCGCCCCCCACGCGCCCGGGGGAAAGUUCCUACUCGUCAAUUUCACACGUAAUUUACAAUAACCACCCGGAUUCUUCUGCGUCGCCUAGGAAACGGCCGGGCGAAGCAACCGCCGCCUCCUCCGAGAUCAAAGCCCUGCAGCAGACCCGGAGGCUCCUGGCCAACGCCAGGGAGAGGACGCGGGUGCACACCAUCAGCGCGGCUUUCGAGGCGCUCAGGAAACAGGUGCCAUGCUACUCCUAUGGGCAGAAGCUGUCCAAACUGGCCAUCCUGAGGAUCGCCUGUAACUACAUUUUGUCGCUGGCACGGCUGGCUGACCUGGACUACAGUGCAGACCAUAGCAACCUCAGCUUCUCUGAGUGUGUGCAGCGCUGUACUCGCACCCUGCAGGCUGAAGGACGAGCCAAGAAGCGUAAGCCUGAAGAAGAAUUGCUUCCUGUGAACCUGAAGAAAACAUCGGGGCCUGUCAGCUGGGAGGACAGUAGAGUAGCAGCCACACAGAACAUCCCAGAAGGGUUGACCCUAAUUCAUGACAAGUUCAUCUUAGCAGCAGAGCCUGUUUAAAGGGUGUCUUCUGUGUGAGGCUGGAGAAACUCUGAGGAUAGACAGCCAUCCAUCCCUAGAGCUUUAACCUCCAAAGCAGAAGCCGCCCCGCCACCCCCAACCCCCAAAUGCCUGAGCCAGGGGGACUCGAGCCCUGGCAAGCUGUGCUCUGCAUGCAGGACAGAGGUGGUGGCGUUGCUGUGGGGAGCAAUUUCAUACUAUAAUUAUGUGUACAGCCCCGAUGCAUCCCUUGUAUGGCAGGAGUGACCGGCCAUGGGCUAGACCAAGGACGCUGCUGUGGGUCUCGUCCAAGUCGGACCCGAGGAGAAAGAAGCUGUGUUCAUCAAGUCAGCCUCAUCGCUGCCUUCUCCAAGAUGCUACCAGACACUCGGCCCACCUCUCAGGGUCUCCCAAGGACCAGACGGGGGCAGCCUUCCUUCCUCUUACCCUCUUGCUGUCCCCAGCCAUCUGAGGUUACUUCAAAUUUUGCCCUCUGCCUGGUGAGGAAGGAAAGUGUAGCUGCAGAAGUUCAUUGCCAAAGAUUCCUUAGAGAUGCUCAACAGAAUAACAGGAUGAAGCUGCACGGUGAAAAGCCACACUGCUGCUGUCUGACUGGGUCCCAGCUAAUGCCAAAGAUGGGUCAGCACUUCUGCCAGGAACUCAUGCAAGGGGUGGACAUUUGGUGGCCUCCAGAAGCACUUGAUCCUCUGAAUUGGUGCUCUGUCUGCACUGGCUCUGAGCUGGCUGGGUGCAAGACAAGCCUACUAGGGCUAGUGAGAGGCAGGCUAGGUGCCUGGGAACGGUGGAGGGUGAGGUCUGAGGUAGCCUCUUCCCAUUAGCUACCCAGAUCUCUGAUCCUGAUUCUCAAUAUUCUUUGAGUCUUGUCUCUCUCUUGAACUCCGCACUUCCUGAGAUUGGAGGAAGUCGGGGAGGGAGAAGCAGUAUGGCCCCAUCUCCCACCCAGAACAUGUCCUAAGACAACCUAUCUGAGGGUCUUUGUUCCCAGAGCCUGCCCUGUGAACUGCCUCUCAUCAGUGGCCCCCCUCACAACAGCAAACAAGAUAGCACUCUUCUGGAAGCCAGUGGCCUGUGGACAGGCAGGGCAGGAGGGCCCAAGGAGGAAGGGACCAGGGGAACGGAUCAGUAUGUGGGAAGGCGGCACGUUCAAAGCCAAGGCCUGCUCCUUGUGCUCAAAAGGCCAAAGCUGUUCACAUCUGUGCCCAACCAUCUGCUUCAAAUUGAAGUAAAAGUUCCAACAUGUAAAGAAAAUGCUUGUCUGUGUUGAGUGGACUCUGUGGGUGAGCAGAAUGUUGGGCAGUCAGCUGGGGAGUUGUGAGGGAGGGGGUGGGGAGCCCUUCAAGGGCAGUGUUGGGGGCGCACCAAUAGCCUCAGGCUGGACUAGAGCUCAGGAAGGUUGAGCAGGUCAUGUAAGAAGCUUUCUCCACUCUACCCUUUACUACUGCGAGUUUUGGGAGAUGAAGGCUGCUACUAAUACCAUU